RNAcentral lists this ribosomal RNA (632 nucleotides) under uncultured bacterium. RNAcentral's name for it is "bacterial SSU rRNA". It matches the Rfam family "Bacterial small subunit ribosomal RNA", at positions 870 to 1504 of the family's 1533-position model. The record is from RNAcentral.
GGCCUGGGGAGUNCGNUCGCAAGAUUAAACUCAAAGGAUUGACGGGGCCCNCACAACCGGUGGAUUAUGUGNAUUAAUUNGAUGCNACGCGAAAACCUUACNUGGCCUNGACAUGUACCGAAUUGAGCAGAGAUGUUCAAGUGCUCGAAAGAGAACGGUAACCACAGGUGCUGCAUGCCUGUCGUCAGCUCGUGUCGUGAGAUGUUGGGUUAAGUCCCGCAACGAGCGCAACCCUUGCCAUUAAUUGCCAUCAUUUAGUUGGGCACUUUAAUGGGACUGCCGGUGACAAACCGGAGGAAGGUGGGGAUGACGUCAAGUCCUCAUGGCCCUUAUGGCCAGGGCUUCACACGUAAUACAAUGGUCGGUACAGAGGGUUGCCAACCCGCGAGGGGGAGCCAAUCCCAGAAAGCCGAUCGUAGUCCGGAUUGUAGUCUGCAACUCGACUACAUGAAGUCGGAAUCGCUAGUAAUCGCGGAUCAGCAUGUCGCGGUGAAUACGUUCCCGGGCCUUGUACACACCGCCCGUCACACCAUGGGAGUGGGUUUUACCAGAAGUAGUUAGUCUAACCGCAAGGGAGACGAUUACCACGGUAGGAUUCAUGACUGGGGUGAAGUCGUAACAAGGUAACCGUA